This 314-nucleotide ribosomal RNA is filed under the name Escherichia coli LAU-EC6. RNAcentral's name for it is "bacterial SSU rRNA". It matches the Rfam family "Bacterial small subunit ribosomal RNA", at positions 1 to 309 of the family's 1533-position model. The record is from RNAcentral. Lineage: Bacteria; Pseudomonadati; Pseudomonadota; Gammaproteobacteria; Enterobacterales; Enterobacteriaceae.
UUAAAUUGAAGAGUUUGAUCAUGGCUCAGAUUGAACGCUGGCGGCAGGCCUAACACAUGCAAGUCGAACGGUAACAGGAAGCAGCUUGCUGCUUUGCUGACGAGUGGCGGACGGGUGAGUAAUGUCUGGGAAACUGCCUGAUGGAGGGGGAUAACUACUGGAAACGGUAGCUAAUACCGCAUAAUGUCGCAAGACCAAAGAGGGGGACCUUCGGGCCUCUUGCCAUCGGAUGUGCCCAGAUGGGAUUAGCUAGUAGGUGGGGUAAAGGCUCACCUAGGCGACGAUCCCUAGCUGGUCUGAGAGGAUGACCAGCC